AUUGAACGCUGGCGGCAUGCCUUACACAUGCAAGUCGAACGGCAGCACGGGAGCAAUCCUGGUGGCGAGUGGCGAACGGGUGAGUAAUGUAUCGGAACGUGCCUUGUCGUGGGGGAUAACGUAGCGAAAGCUACGCUAAUACCGCAUACCAUCCAAGGAUGAAAGCGGGGGAUCGCAAGACCUCGCGCGACAAGAGUGGCCGAUAUCAGAUUAGGUUGUUGGUGGGGUAAAAGGCCUACCAAGCCGACGAUCUGUAGCUGGUCUGAGAGGACGACCAGCCACACUGGGACUGAGACACGGCCCAGACUCCUACGGGAGGCAGCAGUGGGGAAUUUUGGACAAUGGGCGAAAGCCUGAUCCAGCAAUGCCGCGUGCAGGAUGAAGGCCUUCGGGUUGUAAACUGCUUUGUACAGAACGAAACAGUCUCUCCUAAUACGGGGGCGAAUGACGGUACUGUAAGAAUAAGCACGGCUAACUACGUGCCAGCAGCCGCGGUAAUC
RNAcentral lists this ribosomal RNA (500 nucleotides) under uncultured bacterium. Its description in RNAcentral is "bacterial SSU rRNA". It matches the Rfam family "Bacterial small subunit ribosomal RNA", at positions 30 to 525 of the family's 1533-position model. The record is from RNAcentral.